CACACACCGCCCGUCGCUACAUCGAAGUUGGUUUUAGGCGAGGUGGUGCGAUAUUGGCAUUAUCGAACCUGAGAUCAGCAACGAGGGAG
This 89-nucleotide ribosomal RNA is filed under the name uncultured bacterium. RNAcentral describes it as "partial 16S ribosomal RNA". The record is from RNAcentral.